UUUUUUGAGAGUUUGAUCCUGGCUCAGGAUAAACGCUGGCGGCGUGCCUUACGCAUGCAAGUCGAACGAUUCUGAUUUAUCAGUUUAGUGGCAAACGGGUGAGUAACACGUAAGUAACCUGCCUUUAAGCAGGGGAUAACUCCGGGAAACCGGAGCUAAUACCGUAUGUGAUAGUAGAGGUAAUGCACUACUAUUAAAGCCUUCGGGCACUUAGAGAGGGGCUUGCGUCCGAUUAGCUAGUUGGUGGGGUAACGGUUCACCAAGGCUGUGAUCGGUAGCUGGUCUGAGAGGACGGUCAGCCACACUGGGACUGAGACACGGCCCAGACUCCUACGGGAGGCAGCAGCGAGGAAUUUUAGUCAAUGGGCGAAAGCCUGAACUAGCGACGCCGCGUGGGGGAUGAAGGUUUUCGGAUUGUAAACCCCUUUUAUCAGGGAGGAAUAAUGACAGUACCUGAUGAAUAAGUCAUGGCUAACUACGUGCCAGCAGCCGCGGUGAUACGUAGGUGGCGAGCGUUAUCCGGAUUUACUGGGCGUAAAGCGGGUGCAGACGGUCUUUCAAGUCGGGCGUAAAAUCUCCCAGCUUAACUGGGAGGGACCGUUCGAUACUGUGAGGCUUGAGGACAGCAGGGGGAGGUAGAAUUCUCGGUGUAGUGGUGGAAUGCGUAGAUAUCGAGAGGAAUACCAGUGGCGAAGGCGGCCUCCUGGGCUGUUUCUGACGUUCAGACCCGAAGGUGUGGGGAGCAAACAGGAUUAGAUACCCUGGUAGUCCACACUGUAAACGAUGGAUACUAGGUAUAGGGAGUAUCGACCCUCUCUGUGCCAAAGCUAACGCGUUAAGUAUCCCGUCUGGGAAGUACGGCCGCAAGGCUAAAACUCAAAGGAAUUGACGGGGGCCCGCACAAGCAGCGGAGCGUGUGGUUUAAUUCGAUGCAAAACGAAGAACCUUACCAAGGCUUGACAUGUUAGAAGUAGUGAACCGAAAGGGGAACGACCUGUUAAGUCAGGAACUAUCACAGGUGCUGCAUGGCUGUCGUCAGCUCGUGCCGUGAGGUGUAUGGUUAAGUCCUGCAACGAGCGCAACCCCUGUUGCCAGUUGUAUUCUCUGGCGAGACUGCCUCGCACAACGGGGAGGAAGGUGGGGAUGAUGUCAAGUCAGCACGGCCCUUAUGUCUUGGGCUACACACACGCUACAAUGGAUGGUACAAUUGGUUGCAAUAGAGUGAUCUGGAGCUAAUCCCAAAAACCAUCCUCAGUACAGAUUGCAGGCUGAAACUCGCCUGCAUGAAGGUGGAGUUGCUAGUAACCGUAAGUCAGCAUAUUACGGUGAAUACGUUCUCGGGCCUUGUACACACCGCCCGUCACGUCAUGAAAGUUGGCAACACUUGAAGUCAAUGGGCUAACCCGCUUCUAGCGGGAGGCAGUUGCCGAAGGUGGGGCUAGCGAUUGGGACGAAGUCGUAACAAGGUAGCUGUAGCGGAAGCUGUGGCUGGAUCACCUCCUUU
Non-coding RNA from Chloroflexi bacterium RBG_13_46_14, 1504 nucleotides. NCBI's taxonomy places the organism in Bacteria, Bacillati, Chloroflexota. The record is from Rfam.